CAGUAGCCACGGUAAUACAGAGGGUGCGAGCGUUAAUCGGAUUUACUGGGCGUAAAGCGUGCGUAGGCGGCUUCUUAAGUCGGAUGUGAAAUCCCUGAGCUUAACUUAGGAAUUGCAUUCGAUACUGGGAAGCUAGAGUAUGGGAGAGGAUGGUAGAAUUCCAGGUGUAGCGGUGAAAUGCGUAGAGAUCUGGAGGAAUACCGAUGGCGAAGGCAGCCAUCUGGCCUAAUACUGACGCUGAGGUACGAAAGCAUGGGGAGCAAACAGGAUUAGAUACCCGGGUAGUCCCUGUCUCUUAUAA
RNAcentral lists this ribosomal RNA (301 nucleotides) under uncultured bacterium. Its description in RNAcentral is "partial 16S ribosomal RNA". It matches the Rfam family "Bacterial small subunit ribosomal RNA", at positions 509 to 809 of the family's 1533-position model. The record is from RNAcentral.